UUCAAUACUCAUGUGUAGCAUUUUUUUUAGUAUUUUAUUUUUCUUUUAGCAUUUUAUUUUCUUUUAGUAUUUUAUUUCUUUUAACAUUUUUUUGUUAUGUUUAUGCUUUAUUAUUUUCAUAGUUUCAUUAUCAUAACAUAGAUUUGUUGUCUUUUAAUUUCAUCAUUCAUUCAAAACCAUUUUUAAACUAUAAAAAUCAUAUUUUUCUCGAUUUAAUAUCGAGCCCAUUUUUCCACACCCUUGUAAGUCGA
This 251-nucleotide long non-coding RNA is filed under the name Lathyrus oleraceus (garden pea). RNAcentral describes it as "Pisum sativum (pea) long non-coding RNA (PSAT_LNC021548)". The record is from RNAcentral. Lineage: Eukaryota; Viridiplantae; Streptophyta; Magnoliopsida; Fabales; Fabaceae.